GGCUUGGUGGUGUAUGGUACACAUCUGCAUUCUGUAGUUCAUCCGCCAGGUCAAGCAGACACAGCCCGUUCAAUUCGGGCCCGAGCCA
This is a non-coding RNA of Mycena rosella, 88 nucleotides long. The record is from the annotation of a GenBank genome assembly. NCBI's taxonomy places the organism in Eukaryota, Fungi, Basidiomycota, Agaricomycetes, Agaricales, Mycenaceae.